CAAGAGGUGGAGGGAGAAGGAGGUGGGCGGAAAUAGGCUGCCCCGCAGAGAACCCGAAGGAAGCCCUCUGCUUGCCAUUUGAAGGUGGUAACUGGCCAAUGCUACUGACGCUGAAGACCUUCAGAGAGAAGGCCACCUCCCAGGCAUUCUACCUGGUAUAGACGGCUCGAUUCUGCCCUCCCAUUGCUUCCCGUCUCCCUGACGCCGCCGCAGGAAGCCAGAGCUGAGGUGGAGAAAGUCCCUCCCCUCUUCCUCACCAUGUCCCACCUGGCCAUGGGGGCACCAAAGCAGCCCAGCCUCGACCCACGGUCCCACACAAUCAACCUUAGUGAAAACAGCUCCUUCAUCUUUUGGGCUGAGCCCGUCUCCACUGGCUCAGCGUCAGUCCAUCAGGCUGAGCAGGGCGACAGGUGCCCCUUACUCCAUCCCCUACUGUCCUCAUUUCAUGCUUCUGUCCUAGUCUGGAAAACACCAGAAGCUCCCAAGCAUAUCAUCCUAUGGGGGGAAGGGAGGAAGUCGCCUGAAGUGCCCCACUUGCUGGAAGCUUCCAGUAUCCUGCUCCAGGCUCGUUACUGCCAGUUCUCCAUUGGAUUUCUGUUGGAGUGUUUACGUCAAUCAAAAUUAACCAACGUUUAUCGAGUA
Hyaena hyaena (striped hyena) is the source of this 642-nucleotide long non-coding RNA. RefSeq lists it as uncharacterized. Lineage: Eukaryota; Metazoa; Chordata; Mammalia; Carnivora; Hyaenidae. The record is from RefSeq and is a predicted model, not a curated record. The transcript has 2 exons.